CCUACGGGAGACAGCAGUGAGGAAUAUUGGUCAAUGGCCGUAAGGCUGAACCAGCCAAGUCGCGUGAAGGAAGAAGGAUCUAUGGUUUGUAAACUUCGUUUAUAGGGGAAUAAAGGUAGCCACGUGUGGAUAUUUGCAUGUACCCUAUGAAUAAGCAUCGGCUAACUCCGUGCCAGCAGCCGCUGUAAUACGGAGGAUGCGAGCGUUAUCCGGAUUUAUUGGGUUUACAGGGUGCGUAGGUGGUUUUUUAAGUCAGCGGUGAAAGUUUGUGGCUCCACCAUAAAAUUGCCGUUGAAACUGGCAGCCUUGAGUGUGUUUGCGGUAGGCGGACUGCGUUGUGUAGCGG
RNAcentral lists this ribosomal RNA (346 nucleotides) under uncultured bacterium. RNAcentral describes it as "partial 16S ribosomal RNA". It matches the Rfam family "Bacterial small subunit ribosomal RNA", at positions 338 to 681 of the family's 1533-position model. The record is from RNAcentral.